UUGUUUCUAGGUGAGACGAGUGCUCCGACGAAAAGGGUGGGUGAAUAGUUUUGAUCAGCCGGUCCACUUUCGGUGUCCGGACGACGGCUUCAUACAUGGCAUGAGGAGCGAGCACAACAACCACCACGAAGACCGGAUAUGGGGCUUCUUUUGCUGCAAGAUUCCAGUUAGGAUUCGAACAGAUAGAAAUCUACAUGAUCAGCUGUCAACACACCGGCUGGACAAAUGAUUGGGAUGGCGACCAGAGCUUCUUUGUGCCCGCUGAACACGUGAUGGUGGGCGUGACGUCAGAGCAUGACAGCCACCACGAAGAUCGGCGCUUCGCCUACGAAGUAUGCCGAAUUCUUCACGGAGGCGAAAUUAUUGUUGGUUAAAGAUUUUGCAAAGCCAUCAUUCGAAAUACAAAGUUAAUAAAUGAAUGAAAAUAAUUCGUUGCGAAUUAAUUAAGUGCUGUUUUCAAACAUUUAAAUUUAUUGUUAUGAUUAUUAAGGUGUACAUCUCUACACGGACAGUAACCGAUAAAAUUAUGACCUCUCUGGUGUUAUUUUAUAUACAUAUACAAUUUCCUUACAAUGACUCGUAAAUAAAACGCAUACUUCCAAUGAUAUUUGUUUUAAUAUAUUAUUUUACUCGAAUAUUUGUAUCAAUAUGUUUUACAUUUGAAAACCAAGUUAGAUUUAAUGGCAUUGUAUGGGAUAUAAAUUAUUCA
Dreissena polymorpha is the source of this 709-nucleotide long non-coding RNA. RefSeq lists it as uncharacterized. NCBI's taxonomy places the organism in Eukaryota, Metazoa, Mollusca, Bivalvia, Myida, Dreissenidae. The record is from RefSeq and is a predicted model, not a curated record. The transcript is spliced from 4 exons.